CCUACGGGGGGCAGCAGUGGGGAAUAUUGGACAAUGGGGGCAACCCUGAUCCAGCCAUGCCGCGUGUGUGAAGAAGGCCCUCGGGUUGUAAAGCACUUUCAGUGAGGAAGAACGCCUGGUGGUUAAUACCCAUCAGGAAAGACAUCACUCACAGACGAAGCACCGGCUAACUCCGUGCCAGCAGCCGCGGUAAUACGGAGGGUGCGAGCGUUAAUCGGAAUUACUGGGCGUAAAGCGCGCGUAGGUGGCUUGAUAAGCCGGUUGUGAAAGCCCCGGGCUCAACCUGGGAACGGCAUCCGGAACUGUCAAGCUAGAGUGCAGGAGAGGAAGGUAGAAUUCCCGGUGUAGCGGUGAAAUGCGUAGAGAUCGGGAGGAAUACCAGUGGCGAAGGCGGCCUUCUGGACUGACACUGACACUGAGGUGCGAAAGCGUGGGUAGCAAACAGGAUGAGAUACCCUAGUAGUC
Molecule: ribosomal RNA, 465 nt
Filed under: Vreelandella stevensii
Lineage: Bacteria; Pseudomonadati; Pseudomonadota; Gammaproteobacteria; Oceanospirillales; Halomonadaceae
Description: partial 16S ribosomal RNA
Rfam family: Bacterial small subunit ribosomal RNA
Source: RNAcentral